This 253-nucleotide ribosomal RNA is filed under the name uncultured bacterium. RNAcentral's name for it is "partial 16S ribosomal RNA". It matches the Rfam family "Bacterial small subunit ribosomal RNA", at positions 524 to 776 of the family's 1533-position model. The record is from RNAcentral.
UACGUAGGGGGCAAGCGUUGUCCGGAAUUAUUGGGCGUAAAGAGCGCGUAGGCGGUCCGAUAAGUCGGCUGUGAAAGUCAAGGGCUCAACCCUUGAAAGCCGGCCGAUACUGUCGGACUAGAGUCCGGAAGAGGCGAGUGGAAUUCCCGGUGUAGCGGUGAAAUGCGCAGAUAUCGGGAGGAACACCAAUGGCGAAGGCAGCUCGCUGGGACGGUACUGACGCUGAGGCGCGAAAGCUAGGGGAGCAAACAGG